AUGUUAUUUUUCAAUCUUGGCUUGCACUUCAUAAAUCCCUGUCUGCAGCUUCUGCUUUGUCUCCAUAUUCAUAUCCGAGUGCUGUCAUAUUUGCUGGUUUUCUUAAGAAUUGUGCUGCUGGUGUUCAGACAAUUCACUGCUGCCAUGAUGGUGGCAUCGCUGCAGGGCGGUUGUGCUGUGUUUGCAGUGACAGAGCCUGAUGUUCAAAGCUUGGCUUCAUCCAGUUGCUUUAAUGGGAUAGCAAGUGAAUGCCUGCCUGCAAGCUACAGCAGCCGCGAUGCCAAGUCUGCUAAGGAAGCCUGCAUUUCAGAGAUUGGGCUGUACCCCUGUACCCAAAAUGGCUGUACCCCUGAUUUGCCGAGGCUUGGAACAACAAUCAAAUGAUCGAUCCAUUUCACUACACAUCCAUAGCCUCUUUCAGGCCACAUAUCCCUGAAGUCUCUGUAUAUAAUGCUAUGGUUGCAGCUGAAUUUUGUGAUGACAGGUAAACCAAAUUAGAUUUAGUCUUAAUUUUAAAAAAUUGAAAAUCCAUCAGCAUCUCUGUCUUGCAAAG
RNAcentral lists this long non-coding RNA (553 nucleotides) under Chrysemys picta bellii (western painted turtle). RNAcentral's name for it is "lncRNA (ENSCPBG00000019840.1)". Lineage: Eukaryota; Metazoa; Chordata; Testudines; Emydidae. The record is from RNAcentral.